GGAACGAACGCUGGCGGCAUGCCUAACACAUGCAAGUCGAACGAGACCUUCGGGUCUAGUGGCGCACGGGUGCGUAACGCGUGGGAAUCUGCCCUUGGGUUCCGGGAUAACAGUUGGAAACGACUGCUAAUACCGGAUGAUGACUUCGGUCCAAAGAUUUAAUCGCCCAGGGAUGAGCCUGCGUAGGAUUAGCUAGUUGGUGAGGUAAAGGCUCACCAAGGCGACGAUCCUUAGCUGGUCUGAGAGGAUGAUCAGCCACA
Molecule: ribosomal RNA, 260 nt
Filed under: uncultured soil bacterium
Lineage: Bacteria
Description: partial 16S ribosomal RNA
Rfam family: Bacterial small subunit ribosomal RNA
Source: RNAcentral